This 253-nucleotide ribosomal RNA is filed under the name uncultured Staphylococcus sp. Its description in RNAcentral is "partial 16S ribosomal RNA". It matches the Rfam family "Bacterial small subunit ribosomal RNA", at positions 110 to 356 of the family's 1533-position model. The record is from RNAcentral. Lineage: Bacteria; Bacillati; Bacillota; Bacilli; Caryophanales; Staphylococcaceae.
GUAACACGGUGGGUAACCUACCUAUAAGACUGGGAUAACUCCGGGAAACCGGGGCUAAUACCGGAUAACACAUGAAACCGCAUGGUUUCAUGAUGAAAGACGGUUUUGCUGUCACUUAUAGAUGGACCCGCGGCGUAUUAGCUAGUUGGUAAGGUAACGGCUUACCAAGGCAACGAUACGUAGCCGACCUGAGAGGGUGAUCGGCCACACUGGAACUGAGACACGGUCCAGACUCCUACGGGAGGCAGCAGUG